AUUGAACGCUGGCGGCAGGCCUAACACAUGCAAGUCGAGCGGAGCGGCGGACGGGUGAGUAAUGCCUAGGAAUCUGCCUGGUAGUGGGGGAUAACGUCCGGAAACGGGCGCUAAUACCGCAUACUAUCAGAUGAGCCUAGGUCGUAUUAGCUAGUUGGUUGGGUAAAGGCCUACCAAGGCGACGAUCCGUAACUUGUCUGAGAGGAUGAUCAGUCACAAGGGAACUGAGACACGGUCAGGACUACUACGUGAGGCAGCAGUGGGGAAUAUUGGGCAAGGGGCGAAAGCCUGAUCCAGCCAUGGCGCGGGUGUGAAGAAGGUCUGCGGAUUGUAAAGCACUUUAAGUUGGGAGGCGGUAACAACAGAAUAAGCACCGGCUAACUUCGUGCCAGCCGCGGCGGUAAUUG
Molecule: ribosomal RNA, 407 nt
Filed under: uncultured bacterium
Lineage: Bacteria
Description: partial 16S ribosomal RNA
Rfam family: Bacterial small subunit ribosomal RNA
Source: RNAcentral